This is a long non-coding RNA of Orcinus orca (killer whale), 2771 nucleotides long. RefSeq lists it as uncharacterized. Lineage: Eukaryota; Metazoa; Chordata; Mammalia; Artiodactyla; Delphinidae. The transcript is spliced from 3 exons. The record is from RefSeq and is a predicted model, not a curated record.
UAUUCAACCCCAGGGCGGAAGAGUUCGUCGUUUUGUGUUCCGGUCAGUGGGCCUCCGCGGACUCUGGAACAAACACCCUGAAUCUCGUGCUCAGGCAGCACCGCCUGGUUCUUCCAGGCGGCUUGAGAAGGGCUAGGCUUCGGAGCCUCCAACCUGACAAAGGUGGGACUUGGGCAAAUGUCGAGAGGCCUAAGUCUGGGACUAAAGUUGGCCCCCAUGGCGCACAUUCUUGGUCAGAAGCAGCAGAUUUCAAAAAUCAGGAGGUGUCGGGGCGGGCGGGGGAUGAAGGCAAGUAAGCUCCGGCGCUUCGCCUCCGGACCCCAACACAGCCUCCGCGGAUUUGGGAGCGGAACGGAGUCGACGGCUCUGCAGAGACGCCUCUGGCCAGAGAGCAGAUGGCACAGGCCUGCACACUCGCCAUCAAUACGGUCCAUCUGGAAGCGGCCUGGCCCAGCGGAUGGUAAUAGAUGGGCAAGGUGAAGACAGAAUUCCCAGGCAGCAGGAUGGUAAACAGUGCAGAUCUGAGAAACAGCCUGCUGACCUCUGAUAACGUGUAUAGCAACAGCAGACAAGAUUCCUGGAGGAACAGCAACUAUUAUAAGUGUGAUGAUAAAAGCCACGGAACAAAGACAAUUGAGCAAAGAAGACAGAGGGAGCCUCGGAACUUCAUGACAUUCUUGAACAGUGGCGCCAGCCCUGGACGAUUGACCUCAGGACCUCUUGCUAAAUGACAUAUACUAACUCUUUUCUGUUUAACCCACUGGAGUAGAAUUUUCUUUUGCAGUGAAUCCAAUCCUGACUGAUAGGCUAAUAUGUAUUAGCACCUGUUGUGGGCCAGUGGAGUUCUAAGAAUGUUUAUGUACUAACGUUUUUAAUCCUCACAAUGAAUGACUUUAUGAGAUAGACCAAAGGUUCUCAAAGUGUGGUCCCUGAGCCAGCAGCAUUAGCAUCACCUGGAAACUUGUUAGAAAUGCAGGUUUGGGGGCCUGACCCCAGACUUCCUAAAGCAGAAUCUCUGGGAGUGGGGCCCAGCAGUCUGUUUUAGCAAACCCUCCAGGCGAUUCUGAUGUAUGCUGAAGUUUGACAACUUUAUCUCUGUAGAUAGGGUAUUGUUGUUGUCCCCAUUUUACAGAUAAGUAGACUGAGCUGAAUUUAAGUCACUUGCCCAAUGUCACACAACCAGCAAGACUUGACUCCUAAGUCUGUUUGUAGCCACUGUGUUACACAUGUUAAGAACUCCUGCUCUAAAGUAGUAGUCUUCAAAAUUUGAAAGCAUGCUCCUCUGAAAAAUUAUGUACCCCCCUGUACAAUUUUAGAUCAAUAUCUAAAAAUUUCACAUAAGUUCAGACAGUUGUAAAGAAUCUGAUUUCCAGUACAUUGUAAAUUGUGCCAUUUCAAAAUGUGUUCCAUCACUCUUCUAAAUGAAUCUAAAUACCAUAGUGAUUAUUUUUUAAAUGGACUAUCAUCUAUUUAAAAAAAAUGUUUUCUCUAACAUUUGAAAUUUUACAUCUUCUCUUUUUAUGAACUCGUAUUUUCAUUCCCCUACCCCACAAAAAUACAUUCUAUUGUAACAUGGCUGUUUUUGAUCUACUCUGUUGUGCUCUACCCCAGGCUAACUGGUUCAUAUGUCAGCUUAUCUCAAUUUGUUCUCAAUUCUUUACUAGGAGCUUGAAAUGACAAACUGAAACAUUUUUAAAUCUCCAACCUCCCCCUCUUUAUCUUCUUAUUCCCCUGCAGCUGAAAAUGUCAAAUAGCCUAGGGGAAGAAUGCUCUAUGGGCAGUAAAAUGUAUUAAAAGAAAAUCUAAUCAGAAGAUCCUAGCACUGUCAUAAGUAUAUACAUAGAGGGAAACAGAUAAAUUUAAAAAUUGAUACAAGGAUAUGUAGAAAUUAGUAAAUGACAAAGUUGAUAUUUCAAUUCAGUAGGUAGGCAAAAUUGAUUUUAAAAUAAAUUGUGAUGCUAUAACUAACUUUGCCUAUUGGAGAAAACAAAGAUGGACAUUUACCUCUCAGCCAGUAAUAAACCAAGUUCCAGAUAGAUUAGUCACUUAAAUACAAAAUAUAAAAUAAUAAAACAUGUAGUUGCAAAUAAUAAAAGAACUCAGAAGAAAAAUAUUUACUUGGAAACUAUUGCAUAGGAAAAGUUUGAGCAACAAAGGCUUAAUAAAAAUAUGCUUCGAUGAAAGCCUACAAAAUCAUAAUAAGCUAUCUUAAAUCAGAUGUACACAAAUGGGAAAUUCACAGAAGAAAAAAAUCCACCUGAAAAUUAGAAAUGAAUGAGUCUGAGAAUGAGAUGAUGGUGAGGGGGCUGCUUUGGUCCAUCACUUCAUUGUUUUAACCAAGGACAGUGUCUUCAUGCUAUCUUAAUUCCUUAGUCUAUGAAUUGCCAAAUAUUUUGAUGCUCUUACACACUGCUUUCCAGUGCUCUUCUAAAAUGUUUCUUAAUAAAUUUAAAUCAUUCUAAAGAAUGUAAUUGCCAGUAUAUGGUAAGAUUUGAACAUUAAAAGAGCCCAAUCCAUCAUUGAUUUUUUUCCAUUGGAACCUAAGAGCAAUUUGAUAUACCCUAGCAUCCUUUAAAAAUGUACUUGGUAUACCUUUAUUUAACAGUCGAAAAAUGUUCAUGAGUUAUUUUUCUCUUUCAAAGGCAUUUCUGUUCUAUAGCUGUCAUGGAAUUUUAUCCCCAUAUAUUGCAUUUUUUAUGCUUAAAGGCUGUGACUGAUUAUUAUACUACUCCGAAACAGAAAAAUAUAUUAAAAAUGAGAUAUGAUAUUUA